Molecule: ribosomal RNA, 402 nt
Filed under: uncultured bacterium
Lineage: Bacteria
Description: bacterial SSU rRNA
Rfam family: Bacterial small subunit ribosomal RNA
Source: RNAcentral
UCGGGAAUUUUGGGCAAUGGGCGAAAGCCUGACCCAGCAACGCCGCGUGAGGGAUGAAGUAUUUCGGUAUGUAAACCUCGAAAGAAUGGGAAGAAUAAAUGACGGUACCAUUUGUAAGCUCCGGCUAACUACGUGCCAGCAGCCGCGGUAAUACGUAGGGAGCAAGCGUUGUUCGGAUUUACUGGGCGUAAAGGGCGCGUAGGCGGCGCGGUAAGUCACUUGUGAAAUCUCUGAGCUUAACUCAGAACGGCCAAGUGAUACUGCUGUGCUAGAGUGCGGAAGAGGCAACCGGAAUUCUUGGUGUAGCGGUGAAAUGCGUAGAUAUCAAGAGGAACACCUGAGGCGAAGGCGGGUUGCUGGGCCGACACUGACGCUGAUGCGCGAAAGCCAGGGGAGCAAACG